UUUUACCCUACUGAUGACAAGUCGUUGCGAUAGUAAUCCUGCUCAGUACGAGAGGAACCGCGGGAUCAGACAUUUGGUUCAUGCGCUCGGCUGAAAGGCCGGUGGCGCGAAGCUAGCAUCUGCAAGAUUAUGACUGAACGCCUCUAAGUCAGAAUCUUUUCUAGUCAUUGGCAACGAUAAGUUGCGUCCAGACUUGAUGCGAGGAAACGAUUAGGCUUUACUAUACGGCGAAGCCAUUAUCAGACCACGGUAGCAGGCAGUAUGGGAUUGUUACGAAAAAGCAAUUUUUUGAAGUCAGUUGAAUUCAAUCAAACUGCUAACAAUUCCACUGCGAAUGACUCCAUUCGAAUCAAUCGAAGCACAGCGGUCAGGAUGUCGAACAUUUUGCAGACGACAAAAAUACUGGUUCAGGUGUCGUAAUCAGUAGAGCAGUCAACAUAAUGCGAUCUGAUGAGACUCAUCCUUGUAAUCGAUUUGCUCGU
Molecule: non-coding RNA, 482 nt
Filed under: Trichinella patagoniensis
Lineage: Eukaryota; Metazoa; Nematoda; Enoplea; Trichinellida; Trichinellidae
Description: Eukaryotic large subunit ribosomal RNA
Rfam family: Eukaryotic large subunit ribosomal RNA
Source: Rfam by way of RNAcentral